CAGUUCCUAACAGGCCUCAGACCAGUACCGGUCUGUGGCCUGGGGGUUGAGGACCCCUGCUCUAGGCUGGUACUGCUGAUGCUUAAAAAGAGAG
MicroRNA precursor from Gorilla gorilla gorilla (western lowland gorilla), 94 nucleotides. Ensembl annotates it as microRNA 645. Its record names the gene MIR645. Lineage: Eukaryota; Metazoa; Chordata; Mammalia; Primates; Hominidae. The record is from Ensembl.